CACGUAGGUGUCCCGGUAAGCUCCGGGUGAAAUCUCCGCGCUCAACGCGGAAAUGUCUCGGAGAACUAUCGGGAUUGAGUUCAGGAGAAGAGAGCGGAAUUCUCGGUGUAGCGGUGAAAUGCGUAGAUAUCGAGAAGAACACCAGUGGCGAAGGCGGCUUUCUAUCCUGAAACUGACACUGAAGUGCGAAAGCGUGGGUAGCGAACG
Molecule: ribosomal RNA, 207 nt
Filed under: uncultured bacterium
Lineage: Bacteria
Description: partial 16S ribosomal RNA
Rfam family: Bacterial small subunit ribosomal RNA
Source: RNAcentral